GAUGAAGAACGUAGCGAAAUGCGAUAAGUAAUGUGAAUUGCAGAAUUCAGUGAAUCAUCGAAUCUUUGAACGCACAUUGCGCCCGCUAGUAUUCUGGCGGGCAUGCCUGUCCGAGCGUCAUGUCAACCCUCAAGCCCCCGGGCUUGGUGUUGGGGAUCGGCGAGCCUCCGCGCCCGCCGUCCCCUAAAUCUAGUGGCGGUCUCGCUGUAGCUUCCUCUGCGUAGUAGCACACCUCGCACUGGGAAACAGCGCGGCCACGCCGUUAAACCCCCAACUUCUGAACGUUUGACCUCGGAUCAGGUAGGAAUACCCGCUGAACUUAAGCAUAUCAAUAAGCGGAGGA
Molecule: unclassified non-coding RNA, 343 nt
Filed under: soil metagenome
Description: partial contains 5.8S ribosomal RNA, internal transcribed spacer 2, and large subunit ribosomal RNA
Rfam family: 5.8S ribosomal RNA (bases 1-120)
Source: RNAcentral